CUGAUUCUAGGAGCCAUUUUCUGGAGCUAUAUGAUCUCGACCAACCUCAGCAUCCUAAUCUCUUCUUUUAGUCAUGAAAUUUUUAUGGCAAGUUUACUUUGCAUUGAUGGUUACCGAUUCCGGAUUUUAUUUUGAUUUCAACUAUAUUAUCCAAUCAUGUAUCCCCUUGUGUUUCUUAGCUUGUAUUACCUUUGCUGCCUUUGGGCUUUUUAAUGAAUUAUUCACUAUUGACCAAAGGAAAAUUCUUGAAGUUUAAAUUUUAGCCUGAGCAUUUCCAGAAACACUACUUUUUUUUUGGGUUGCUAAUUCUUAUUAGUUAAAAUGGCUAGAAAGUUAUUUUGAAUGAAAUAGAAAGAGGGAAGGAUUUUGGCUGAGUUAGGAUUUAGGAUUCAGACCACGUUUUCUUUUUCUUGUUUUCAUCUUCCCUCAUCCUCUCAUAAUCUCCAUCCCUGUCUCACUUUUUUUUUUCCCUUCUUAUCUCUCUCGACUCUCUUUGAAAAUUCUAGUUUUAUUAUCUACAACCAUGGCAAUUAGGGUUAUGAAAACAAGACUUGCUGAUUUCCAUAAAACGUAAAUGACAGAUUUGUCUCAACCAUGUAAAAAGUCCCCAACCAAUUCAAGAAAUAUUACUUGCAAAGGGACUCAGUCAAAUUGGUAAACAUCAUUUGAAGUUAAAGCACCAUCAGUCCAGUCGGAUUGAACUGAGGUGUGCCUGCCAACUAUCUGAAUAACAACUGUGUUUUAGGACCAAAAUAAGAGCAAAAAAAAAAAGAAAAAAAGAACAAAAAAAGAAACACCAGCAGCUAAAACCCCAAGUGGGAAAACAGAGAGCAAGACCAGUUUCAAACCAGCUAGAAGGUGAAAAAUGAAACAGAAGAAAAAGUCAUGCACUCAAAUUUCUAGGGUGCAGGUGGAAAUGACAGAAGCAAUUGGUGGAAUGGAAGGACUGUAAAAUUUUAUAUUGAGGCAAAUUGUCACCAUCAAUGUUAAUGGGAGAAUGAGUUUCAUAAUUCAUUCUCUUUGGCAGAAUGAAUCCAUUCCAUAUAUAGCAUAAGCAUUGAACAUUUCCAUUGGUUAAAUACCACUGGGUUUAAACUUAAUAUUAAGUAGAAGAAAAAAAAGAAGCAAACUUAAUAUUAAGUAGAAGAAAAAAAAGAAGCAGCAAUUAAUUUGAAGUAAAAGAUUCAAACCCUAAACUAUAUGGAUCUGUAUACCUUCUAGUUAAAAUAUAAAAUUUUGGUCAAUAUAUACCUUCUAGUUAAAGGUGAGAUUUAAUCAAACACCAAGUCUUGGUGAGAUUUAAUCAAACACCAAGUCUUGACUUGGUUCUAAAUACUAAGUAUAUAUAUAUAUAUAUAUAUAUAUAUAUAUAUAUAUAUAUAUAUAUAUAUUCAAAUCCUUACCUGCUUCGACAUGGAAAAUCAUAUCCAAGAGUACAAGACCAGUUCAUUCUCCCCAGUCUAUAAAUAGGCUUCUAACCCAUGAAGGAUUUUCAUCCCACACCCUCAAACCAAAUCUUUAUUACGUACCUAGCAAAUUAAGCCAACUGCAAUGAAAGCUGUUUACUUCCUCAUAAGCACUCUUGCCAUAUUGGCAUCUGCAACCUUCCUUGUCUCUGCCUCUGACCCCAGUCCUCUUCAGGACUUCUGUGUAGCACUGAAUGACACCAAAUCUGCUGGUAUGCAUGAAUAUAUACUUGUGUUAAUUAUUUAUAUUCUGCCCUGCAAUUAUUCCCACAUGAAUUAUUUUCAUUAGAUAUUAGUUUUAUGAAGAUCGUUUUUCUGUUAACUAUAGCUUCUUCUCAUGCAUGAAAAAUCUAUUAGUACGUAAUUUUACAUAUGAAUAAUGCUAUUUGUACUGCAUUUACCGGGCAUCUUAGUGAUCAUCUCUCUGAGAUACAUUAAAGUGGUUUCCACUUACGUACGUGGAUUUUACCUCCGAAUAGUUCUAACACUAAAGUUUAAUAUAAAUUUUUUUUGGGUUGUAGAAGCAGUGUUUGUGAAUGGGAAGUUCUGUAAGGACCCAAAGCUUGCCAAUGCAAAUGAUUUCUUCUUUUCUGGCCUCCAAAAUCCAAGAAACACACAAAAUCCGCUUGGUUCAAAUGUGACAGCCGUGAAUGUGGACAACCUACUAGGACUGAACACUCUCGGCAUAUCCUUGGCUCGCAUAGACUUUGCACCAAAUGGCCUAAACCCUCCUCACACUCACCCUCGUGCCACUGAAAUCCUUGUGGUCUUGGAAGGAACACUCUAUGUUGGUUUCGUCACAUCCAACGGUGAUGGCAAUCGCCUAUUCACCAAAGUGUUGAACAAGGGAGAUGUGUUUGUGUUCCCAAUUGGCCUCAUUCACUUCCAACUCAAUGUGGGACACGUCAACGCUGUAGCCUUUGCUGGGCUUAGCAGCCAGAACCCAGGAGUGAUCACCAUAGCCAAAGCAGUGUUUGGCUCCCAGCCUCCCAUCAACCCUGAUGUUCUAGCCAAGGCCUUCCAAGUGGACGACAAUGUGGUUGACAAUCUUCAGAAACAGUUCUGGUACGACAACAAUUAGUAAAAUACAACAAAUAAUUAUAAGGCCAAGGAAAGAACAACCAAUCGAUGUGCUUGGUUGGAUGUAUUAAGUUGGCCAAUAUGUUUUUCACUACGUACCUACAAUAAAUUACUAUGAUGUAAUAUUAAUUGAAUAAGAUUGUUGGAUACUUACCCUCUGGGUUUUGAAAUAACAUAAUUUCAUACUUUAGUUUUGAAAUAACAUUAUGCAUUAAUUCAACAAAGUUAUUAUGACAGCUUAAUAAUACUAAAAUGGAGGAGCCUUGCCAUUUUAACAUUGAUAAAUUUGGCCCAUGCUCUAGGGCAAAUCAAGUAGAAAUUUCUCUCUCUCGAGGACAGCUAUUUGCGUGCAAUUAGUGCAGACAUUAAAUUCAACCGUUGGAUCGAUUUUAAAAGGUUACAUGUGUUAGAAUUCAAAGCUUCUAGUAAUUAGUUUUGAAUAUUUUGGAUGUUUGGGAGGAAGGAAGAAAUCACAGAGAGAGAAUGAAGAAGAGAACGUUGCUCUGAAUAGAAAAAUGGAGAUUACUUUUCAUUUCUACUCCACUAGCCAAUAUAUCGUCAGGAAAGAGAGAGAAGUGAGAUGCUUCUCUAACAGAUUUACAUCAAGAUUGAAUCCUUGCCAUUGCUCCUAUCAUCCUAUGAGAUGCUCACAUUUGUCACAAGCUAUCACUUAAAUCCUAGGCUAGAAACAGAGUCCACUUGGACUAUGAUCCAAUGGCUCACAUUACAAACAUAAAUUAAAACAUAUAAAAUGAAAUUCAAAAAACUUUGUGACUUUGGCUCCAAGGUUUUCAGCUCAAGGGUUACACAUCAACAACAUGUAGAAUCUGGUAAAAGAAAACACAAAUAAACCUAACUGAGACCCAGUGACCCACACAAUCAUCUUCUCUUUCCUCUUUCUCUGCCUUCUUCUAUUUUCCUCUCCUUCUCCUAUCCUCUCUCUUUGGGCAUUCAAAUUGAAAAAUUGAGCUUAAUCGAGCAGAAAAAAAUCGAAAUAACCAAAAAUCAGACCGAGUUAACCAAAAACUGAACUAGACCGGUUUGGUCCGAUUUCAAUUCCAGUAUCUUGUAGUGAAAAAAGGGACCGGGCGAACCGAACAGAUUGUGGUGAAUUUCAGACAACGGUUUUUUUUUUUUUUUUUUUCAUCUUCUCAUAAUCUUCAUAUCUGUUUCACAUUUUCUUCUCCCUUCUCAUCUCUCUCUACUUUCUCACUUUGAAAAUUCAAUAAUCUACGACCGUAACAACUCGGGUUAUUAAAAAUAUAUAUAUAUAUAUAUAUAUAUAUAUUCGACUUACUAAUUUCCAUAAAAAUUAAAUGACACAUUUGUGUGUUUGAAAUAUUACUGGAGGGACUGUUUAAGAGCUACUCAGUCAUGUUGGUAAACAUCAUUUGAAGUUAAGCAGCAUCAGAUUGAAUUCAGGUGUGCCUGCCAAUUAUCUGAAUAACAUCUGUGUUUUAGGAUCAAAAAGAAAACAUAACAAGAAAAAAAAAAAAAAAAAAACACCACCAGCUAACCCCAACGGGAAAAUAAUCAGGAGCAGCGGCUGCUUUGAGCAAGACCAGUUUUUUUUUUAAUCGGUGGACUGACUGUAAAAUUUUAUAUCGAGGCAAAUUGUCACCAUCAAUGUUAAUAUAUAAGGAAACGAAUUUCAUUCUCUUUGUAGAAUGAAUCCAUAUAUAGCAUAAGCAUUGAACAUUUCCAUUGGUUAAAUACCACCUAAUUAAAAAAAAUAAAUAAUUAUCUCCUAACUACUCUUUUUUUUGGUACAACUCCUAAUACCUGGUCUUUCAUCAUCAUAAUUAUAUGAAUAUAUUCUCCCUCAACUGACCUUGUCUUAUAAUUAAACAACCCUAAUAACCCUUUACAAAAGGUAACUUAUUUUAUUGAAACACCAAACAGUAGAGCUGAGUCAAAGUUCUUCAAAAUUCUAUCACAACUGAAUUUUCUUUUUCUAGUGCUAAAAUAUAUGUAGGAAAUUUAUUGUUCAAUAGUUAAACUUAAAGGUGAGAUUUUGUCAAAUACCAAGUCUUGACUUGCCUCUAAAUACCCCUAUCUCAAGGGUAAGAAAAUGACCAAAAUACCCCUAUCUCAAGGGUAAAUUUGUAAUUUCCCUUAAAUAAUGUAAAUAACUUAAAUAAAUGGUUAAAUUUGGAGUCGGGGUGUUACAUAAAUACCACCUAAUUAAAAAAAAAAAUAUAAUUAUCUCCUAACUACUCUUUCUUUUUGGUACAAUUCCUUGCAAUGUUAUCGAAUCGGUUUCCUGUAAUUUUGUUACAAUGGAGAACCCUCCUGCUUCUAAUGGUGAUGAGACCCUGUCAAUUAUGGAUUGCUUUGCAGAAGAAAGCAAGUUUCUUGUGAAUGAUAAUGGCAAAAAUGAGUCUCUAGGCAACAUUGCCAACAUCCAAAUAUAAUUUGCAUUGUUUAUCAGAUUAUCUCUAUCAUCAUAGACUUAUAUAUAUGUGAAAAUGCCCUCCAUUUUCCAGGUUGUGCCAGCACAGGUUUUGUUCACUGGUUAGCUAAAAUAUUGUACUUAAAUUCGUUUUAAUCAUAUGUGGGCUUGCUUAGGAGACUUUCAUGGGGGCCCAAACCUAGCUUCAAAGGAUGGCUCAAGCCCAGAAUAUUUUUUUGAUAUUUUUCCCGAAAAGAUAUAAAGCAGGCUUUAUGAUGUUCCUUGGCCCUCAAACACCAAAGCAUACUAGGAGUUGGUAAGGAGGCAACAACCCACCUCUGCAAGCACAACAUGUCAACUAUAUUGGCUGCACAUAAGUAGAGCACAUACUUUUUGGUCGUCCAUUAGAGUUGUUGAAAUAUCAAGAAGAUACAAGAGCACUUCUCCUCAUUCUAAUCCCUCACACACUCAUUUUAGAUGGGGUGAAUACUUUAGUGUAAGUUACAUUGAUCGGUUGAGCAUGAACACUUGUAUUCAUAUGCAUUUGUUUAAGAGUUUUUCCCAUCAAGAAACUCUCUAACAAUCCUUAUUAUAUUAGGUUAGGUUAAGUUAUUUCAAUCCAUAUAGAAUAGGGAAGUAUCACAAGCCUUGUUUAACUUGUACUACACGUCUGCAAGGCUAUCUGAUUGGCUAUUAGUUAAUUUCUUCUGCGUACUUUUAUCAGUUACCACAUGUGCUGAUGUGUUUGCCAUUUUCAUCUUGGCUUUUUCCAGUCAUAAGUAUGCCGAUUUUUUAUUUGGUUAUGUGAAUCUUGCAAUGCCUUUGGUGUUUAUUUGACUAAGAAGUCUUUUUUUUCCUAUUUGUGUUAUCAUUUUAAAACACUCUCUGUGCAUGUGUUGUAGCUUGCCAAUACAUAUUUGCAAAUGCUGUAACUAAUUAGUGCCUUUAUGCUAUCGGAUGCUUCUUUCAGAUAUGUUUGGUUCUUGUCACUGUUUCCUUUACCAUAGCUGGAGAGUAAAGAAAAACCCUGCUUUAUUUUGCUAGUAGUAAUUGUAUUCUAUUAUCCUCUGCUGAUGAGGAUUUUCUUUCUCUUCCUGCUUUCUUGAUAAUGCUCUCUUGUUUUUCCAAUGAGCAAUGAUAUGUUACUGCUUAUAGUAAUAUCUGACUCUUCUCAACUACAGAAUGUCAUUGCUUGAAGCAUGAGUUUUGAACUAGAUGGUGUAACUUCCAUACUGUUAAUACAUUUUAAUUUUUCUUACAUACAUCUGUAUCUGUUGGCUUCCCUAAGUGUAAUGUGUGCAUAUUAUCCUGCAGGAACUUAAUAAUCUCGAACAUUUGGGCAAUGCUACACCUCAUUUCAAUACAAGCAACAUAUAUAAAGGUCUAGGAGACUUGGAAAACUUGGGUAGAGUUGGUGAAGUUGGAUAUAAUUUUUGCAGUGAGCCUGAUUCUAGGAGCCAUUUUCUGGAGCUAUAUGAUCUCGACCAACCUCAGCAUCCUAAUCUCUUCUUUUAGUUAUGUAAUUUUUAUGGCAAGUUUACUUUGCAUUGAUGGUUACCGAUUCCGGAUUUUAUUUUGAUUUCAACUAUAUUAUCCAAUCAUGUAUCCCUUUAUGUUUCUUAGCUUGUAUUACCUUUGCUGCUUUUGGGCUGUUUAAUGAAUUAUUCACUAUUGAC
RNAcentral lists this long non-coding RNA (6614 nucleotides) under Prunus persica (peach). Its description in RNAcentral is "long non-coding RNA (PPER_LNC007678)". The record is from RNAcentral. Lineage: Eukaryota; Viridiplantae; Streptophyta; Magnoliopsida; Rosales; Rosaceae.